This is a long non-coding RNA of Pan troglodytes (chimpanzee), 684 nucleotides long. RefSeq lists it as uncharacterized. The transcript has 3 exons. Lineage: Eukaryota; Metazoa; Chordata; Mammalia; Primates; Hominidae. The record is from RefSeq and is a predicted model, not a curated record.
AAUUCGAUCGAUUGGUACGAGGGACCACGUGGCCAGGGGCUGGCCAAUGACCAGGCCGCCCGGGAUGAGCUAAUAAUGGAAGCAAUUUGUAACUUUCAGUAGCUCUCUAGGCCUGGGUACCGGAGGGAGGGAGGCGGGCAGAGGAGGGGAGAUGGGCACCCCCAGUCUUUCCAUCCUCCUCAUUCGUCUAGGGGCACCCGAAUCCACUAUUCCUUAUUUCCCCUAUCACUCAGGCACUGGCAGGGUCCUUUGCCCACUCCUGUUGGCCGCCGCGGCUCCAAAGCGAGCUGGGCAGAUGUGCCUGAGACAGGUUUGACCAGGCAACUGAAAAGACAUCCCUAAGGGAAGACAAAGCAAAGGUAUGAAAGGAACACAUGUCCCUGACUGACUAGGAGGAACAGAGCUGCCUGCUGUCUGGAACCGCUUCCUCCCAGACUAAGGUUUCCCAGAGGAAGAGAGAGAAUUUGGACAAAUGAAUGAGGGACAACGCUCUCCUGAGGGUUUUCUUUAAGGGGCGAGGAUCACUGCCGCUAGCUCCUUUGAAAGCAGAAUUAAGAGGCAGUGCAGGAAGGCACAGCAGGAAGGCUCAUGGUUAGACCACAGAGAAGGAAGCAGCCACUGCUGGGGACCUACCCUGUGCUGGUCACUGACAAGCUGUCUCAUUAAACCUUCCCAGACCCUCAA